CCUAAAAAGUUGUGUAGAAAAAUGAAAGCUUAUUUGAGAUUAUUAUGUGCUAUAAAUAUUCUGAUCUAUAAGUUCAAUUUUUUUUUCCAUUGGGGAAAAUACAAAUCAGAGUAUCUUGAGUAUUCUUUCUUUAAAAGAGAACAUGGGUUCAAUAAUGGAGACUCACAAAUGGAGGAAUAAGAGAAAUAUGAAGUUUUGCUUUUGCAAACAUACUGAAGUGGAAAAUAGAAAAGCUGAAAUCAACAAUAACAACAACAAAAACGCCACAUCCAUUUGGACUAAAAUACAUGUAUAUAUAACACAACUUUCCAAGCAUAAAACGAAAACUCUCACCAAGGGAAUGAAAAAAAUACCUUUUGAAAAACUGCUGAAAUAGGCCUAUUGUUGAAAUAGUUUUAUUUCCCCUUUAGAAGGUCUAUUUACUACAAUUCUGGGAGUGAGAGGGAUGAUUUUGAAUAAAGAAUAGAGCCAUUUAAGAUGUUGUGCAGAGUACCAGAAUUUAUGAAGACUGGUUUGAAUUAAAACUAAAUGUCACCAGCAAGUAGGAGCCAACAGAAAUCAGCUGCUCUUUGCUGGGUGUCAUUCCUGUCACUGUGAGGACACUGGCAAACCAAAGAGAUUGGUCCUUGUCUUUGGGACUCCUAGAGUUGAGGACAGAUAAUGCAUAGGAAGAAUCAGAGACUGUAACGGAUGCGAUCAACUUGAACAGAUGGGAGAUAUUAAGCACCAAGAGGGUGAAUGAGGAGGUUUCUUACUUCCUGGUCACAAAAUGGCUGCCGAAGUCCAUAAGCUAAAUCCUAAUGUGAGUGAACAUGAUCAAGAAGUUCACAAUUUUAAGGAUUCAUGACUACAACCCCAAAAUACGGCACUUCUGCCUGUGUGGAAACAACAGAAGCAGGAAGAUUACUCUCAUUUUUCUCUGGCCUUUUUCCCUUGAAGCAGACUAUAAAGAAGAAUCUGACCUUCCUCUGAAGGAAACCUUCAUUCCAGACAUACCCUCCCUAUAUCCAAAGAACAUCUUUAUCUUUAAAGACACAGAGAUGUCAAGAAGAAUCUGAACAAACAGGCUUUGCCAGAUCCCCCAGUUUACUAAUAUUGAACCAUACUCUUUUGUUCUUCAAUCAUACUUCUGCAUGAUGUCCAUAAAAAUACACAGUUUUCCCCAUUCCUUUUGGGUAUUUAUUCCCGAAAGCUUCUGUGUCAUGUAAAACUUACA
Molecule: long non-coding RNA, 1216 nt
Filed under: Homo sapiens (human)
Lineage: Eukaryota; Metazoa; Chordata; Mammalia; Primates; Hominidae
Description: HSALNT0330685
Source: RNAcentral